This is an RNA transcript of Arachis duranensis, 2126 nucleotides long. It is a transcript of the gene named dicer-like protein 4, with no coding region annotated. The record is from RefSeq and is a predicted model, not a curated record. Lineage: Eukaryota; Viridiplantae; Streptophyta; Magnoliopsida; Fabales; Fabaceae. The transcript is spliced from 6 exons.
UCUACUCCCUCUGUAAUUUAACUGAUAGCGAUUUUUGUUCUGAAUAGUUUGGGUGGUAGAAACCCCCCAAAAAUUAAAUCUAUGAGACACAAAAGAUACUCUCACGCACAAACCCGCUAAACCAAAAACCCCAAUAGCCCCAUACCCGCGAAAAAUAUAGCACUCACCCAAAUUUGUGACCCUAUCUUCAGCCUUUCCUGCAAAUUGGCAACGACGUCUGCUCCCCCGACGGUCAUCGCUGUUCAUAGUGGCCCUCUUCUCGAACUAAUCUUUAGAUGACAAGUCAUGUGGAGAAUUGCAUCAGAUGUUAGUUCCUUCUCCCUUUAAAAAGUCUUGGAAAAACGAAGAGAAAGUUGUUCAUCUCAACUCACACUACAUAAAAUUUUGCCCCUUUCCAGAGGAUAGGGUUUACGAAAAGUUUGGUCUAUUCAUCAUGCCUUGUCUUCCAACAGAGGCUGAGAAACUGGAACUUGAUCUUCAUCUUGCUCAUGGUAGAUUUGUUAUAUCAACAUUUGUUCCAUUUGGAGUUGUAGAAUUCGAAGGCAGUUCAAGAGGUUUUCUGCUAUGGAAUUAUCAGAUUUUGGCUGAUUUCUUAUUAUGAGUUGUGGAGUCAUUCUUCUGCAGCAGGCAGCUUAAUAUAUCAUAUGAUUCCGUGGUCAAGGAACAAUCAAAUUAUAUGUGGUCUUCAAUGUUUUAGAGAUUUUUUAUUAAUUAUGUUAAAGUUUCAAUGGGGAUGUACCGCAAACGUUCUUUCAUUCAGCUCAAGGACUUGCAAGUUGUCCACCGGCAAGUACGAGAUUCUGGAUAUGGAGAUAUAUGGCCGAUGAAACUUUAGCUAUUGCUGCUUCAAAAAUCCUUCCUCUUUGGAAUUACUUUUGUUUUCUCAGAUUCGUAGCCCCCACCCCCCCAAAACAAAAUAAAAAACAAAAUACCAAAGAAAAGGGAAAAAUCACAGAUGUUUUGUUAACUAUCUUAUUCUUUGUAAGAAAAAGUAAGAAACAUUUAAUGGUUCCUUGAAUAUUCUUACGUGUUCAUUCUGUUAUCUUAUUAGCUCAGGCAAUCACUCUAUCGACCUGUAUAGUUGACCACAACAAUGCAUUGUUCACUUUGCUGGUGUCAAAUGAUUUUACUGACAUACAAAGUAAUGUGUUUACUCGAUACAGCAUGGAGAAUGUAUACAGUUUGGUUUAGUUUGAGGCCAUCAGAGUGCUCCAUUGAAUUUGCAGAAAGGUAAAAGAUCUUUGUUAUUGGUGUUAUGCAGUAUCUUUGUUUAGCUUCAAGGAGUUACAACUUGAAACAGUGCUUAGUACUUUAUUUUAAUGGUUGUAGGGUGAGAGAUAAUCUCAAAACGUGUUGCCUUAAAAAUGGUGCAUGGGAUGGAUAUCUAAAGUACAAAUUAAAAUGUUAGGAGAGUUUGGUUCUCUCAUGUUCCAUUGUUAUACUUUAGCUGGUUAUUUAUGUAUUGAAACUAGUCUUGGCAGUCUGUGUGAUACUUCUUAAUAUGAAGCAAUAUCUGCUUGCCUUUGCUGAAUACUGUCUAUCUUCUCUUUGGUUUAAUUAAUUGCCAUAUUGGACCAUACCAAUUACCUUCAAAGAAAAGUUAGUUUCAAAUCCCUUAAUUUGGCCACUUUCCAUAUGCCAGAUAUACACAGCAGCAACAUACAAGAAGUGCUUUUUGUUCUUAUAAAAUGAAAAAAUUUCUACUUUCAGUAUGCUUAUUAUAGGCGCAAUCAAAAUCCACAAGUGGGUUCAUAAGAAGUCGGCAUUUUUGUGCUUCGUGCAUCUAGUGUGGAUGUGAUAGUAAUGCUUCCCAUGGAAGUUGGCAUUGAAGAAGAUUUAUUUAACUGAUAGUGAUCAUGGUCUUGACUUUAGUUUUUGAUAGUUAGGUAUUGAAUUUCAAUAAACAAAGCUUAAGGUACAAGGAGGCAAUACGAUAUCCUUAGUGGAGAGAGUUGGUUUAUUACAUGCAAAUUUGAAAGUUAUCACGAAUAAGAGAGAAACCAAGAAUCUUACACAUCAAGUAAUCCUAAAUGGGGGAAUUGAAAAUUUUGUCCUUUGAAAUCAAGUUGGUUGUUUUCAAAUCUAUCAGGUAGAAAUUUUUCAGGAUUUUCCCAUAACUCAGGGUC